RNAcentral lists this small RNA (75 nucleotides) under Marmota monax (woodchuck). The record is from RNAcentral. Lineage: Eukaryota; Metazoa; Chordata; Mammalia; Rodentia; Sciuridae.
GCCAGGCUUGGUGGUGCACGCCUGUAAUCCCAGCAGCUUGGGAGGCUAAGGCAGGAGGAUCAAAGCCAGCCUCAG